GGGGAAUUUUCCGCAAUGGGCGAAAGCCUGACGGAGCAAGACCGCGUGAGGGAGGAAGGCUCUUGGGUUGUAAACCUCUUUUCUUGGGGAAGAAAAAAAUGACGGUACCCAAGGAAUCAGCAUCGGCUAACUCCGUGCCAGCAGCCGCGGUAAUACGGAGGAUGCAAGCGUUAUCCGGAAUUAUUGGGCGUAAAGCGUCCGCAGGUGGCACUUCAAGUCUGCUGUCAAAGGUCGGGGCUUAACCCCGGGAAGGCAGUGGAAACUGAAGCGCUAGAGUGUCGUAGGGGUAGAGGGAAUUCCCGGUGUAGCGGUGAAAUGCGUAGAGAUCGGGAAGAACAUCGGUGGCGAAAGCGCUCUACUGGACGACAACUGACACUCAGGGACGAAAGCUAGGGGAGCGAAAGGGAUUAGAUACCCCUG
RNAcentral lists this ribosomal RNA (420 nucleotides) under uncultured Phormidium sp. RNAcentral's name for it is "bacterial SSU rRNA". It matches the Rfam family "Bacterial small subunit ribosomal RNA", at positions 356 to 790 of the family's 1533-position model. Lineage: Bacteria; Bacillati; Cyanobacteriota; Cyanophyceae; Oscillatoriales; Oscillatoriaceae. The record is from RNAcentral.